UACGAAGGGUGCAAGCGUUGCUCGGAAUUAUUGGGCGUAAAGGGUAGGUAGGUGGUUACGUAUGUCUGAGGUGAAAUCCCUGAGCUUAACUCAGGAAGUGCCUUGGAAACGGCGUAACUAGAGUGCUAGAGAGGUUCGUGGAAUUCCCAGUGUAGCGGUGAAAUGCGUAGAGAUUGGGAGGAACACCAGAGGCGAAGGCGGCGAACUGGAUAGCAACUGACACUGAACUACGAAAGCGUGGGUAGCAAACAGGAUUAGAUACCCUGGUAGUCCACGCUGUAAACGAUGGGUACUAGGCUUCGUGGGAGUUGACCCCUGCGGAGCCGGAGCUAACGCAAUAAGUACCCCGCCUGGGAAGUACGGUCGCAAGACUAAA
RNAcentral lists this ribosomal RNA (376 nucleotides) under uncultured bacterium. RNAcentral describes it as "bacterial SSU rRNA". It matches the Rfam family "Bacterial small subunit ribosomal RNA", at positions 524 to 898 of the family's 1533-position model. The record is from RNAcentral.